GUGCUCACUGCAGCAUAUACGUUAAAACUGAAAUAACACAGAGAAGAUUAACAUAGUCCCUGUGCCAGGAUGACAUGCAAAUUUAUGAACCACUCUGUAUUAAA
Octodon degus (degu) is the source of this 104-nucleotide small nuclear RNA. Lineage: Eukaryota; Metazoa; Chordata; Mammalia; Rodentia; Octodontidae. The record is from Ensembl.